GGGAUAACACUUGGAAACAGGUGCUAAUACCGUAUAACACUAUUUUCCGCAUGGAAGAAAGUUGAAAGGCGCUUUUGCGUCACUGAUGGAUGGACCCGCGGUGCAUUAGCUAGUUGGUGAGGUAACGGCUCACCAAGGCCACGAUGCAUAGCCGACCUGAGAGGGUGAUCGGCCACACUGGGACUGAGACACGGCCCAGACUCCUACGGGAGGCAGCAGUAGGGAAUCUUCGGCAAUGGACGAAAGUCUGACCGAGCAACGCCGCGUGAGUGAAGAAGGUUUUCGGAUCGUAAAACUCUGUUGUUAGAGAAGAACAAGGAUGAGAGUAAAAUGUUCAUCCCUUGACGGUAUCUAACCAGAAAGCCACGGCUAACUACGUGCCAGCAGCCGCGGUAAUACGUAGGUGGCAAGCGUUGUCCGGAUUUAUUGGGCGUAAAGCGAGCGCAGGCGGUUUCUUAAGUCUGAUGUGAAAGCCCCCGGCUCAACCGGGGAGGGUCAUUGGAAACUGGGAGACUUGAGUGCAGAAGAGGAGAGUGGAAUUCCAUGUGUAGCGGUGAAAUGCGUAGAUAUAUGGAGGAACACCAGUGGCGAAGGCGGCUCUCUGGUCUGUAACUGACGCUGAGGCUCGAAAGCGUGGGGAGCGAACAGGAUUAGAUACCCUGGUAGUCCACGCCGUAAACGAUGAGUGAUAGGUGUUGG
Molecule: ribosomal RNA, 699 nt
Filed under: uncultured bacterium
Lineage: Bacteria
Description: bacterial SSU rRNA
Rfam family: Bacterial small subunit ribosomal RNA
Source: RNAcentral